This 400-nucleotide ribosomal RNA is filed under the name uncultured bacterium. RNAcentral describes it as "bacterial SSU rRNA". It matches the Rfam family "Bacterial small subunit ribosomal RNA", at positions 28 to 419 of the family's 1533-position model. The record is from RNAcentral.
GAUGAACGCUAGCGGCAGGCUUAACACAUGCAAGUCGAGGGGCAGCAUAAACAUUGCUUGCAAUGUUUGAUGGCGACCGGCGCACGGGUGCGUAACGCGUAUGUAACCUACCUCAAACAGGGGCAUAACACUGAGAAAUUGGUACUAAUUCCCCAUAACACCUGAUAGGGCAUCCUAAUGGGUUGAAAGUUUCCGGCGGUUUGAGAUGGACAUGCGUUGUAUUAGCUAGUUGGUGAGGUAACGGCUCACCAAGGCGACGAUACAUAGGGGGACUGAGAGGUUAACCCCCCACAUUGGUACUGAGACACGGACCAAACUCCUACGGGAGGCAGCAGUGAGGAAUAUUGCGCAAUGGGGGGAACCCUGACGCAGCAACGCCGCGUGAAGGAAGAAGGUCUUC